RNAcentral lists this unclassified non-coding RNA (22 nucleotides) under Dictyostelium discoideum. The record is from RNAcentral. Lineage: Eukaryota; Evosea; Eumycetozoa; Dictyosteliales; Dictyosteliaceae.
AAAGUCUGAAAGGGAUGACUGU